Molecule: ribosomal RNA, 253 nt
Filed under: uncultured bacterium
Lineage: Bacteria
Description: partial 16S ribosomal RNA
Rfam family: Bacterial small subunit ribosomal RNA
Source: RNAcentral
UACGAAGGGUGCUAGCGUUGUUCGGAAUUACUGGGCGUAAAGCGCGCGUAGGCGGUCUAUCAAGUCAGAGGUGAAAGCCCUGGGCUCAACCCAGGAAUUGCCUUUGAAACUGGUAGACUUGAGUGUCGGAGGGGAUAGCGGAAUUCCUAAUGUAGAGGUGAAAUUCGUAGAUAUUAGGAGGAACACCGGUGGCGAAGGCGGCUAUCUGGACGACAACUGACGCUGAGGCGCGAAAGCACGGGGAUCAAACAGG